Molecule: ribosomal RNA, 253 nt
Filed under: uncultured bacterium
Lineage: Bacteria
Description: partial 16S ribosomal RNA
Rfam family: Bacterial small subunit ribosomal RNA
Source: RNAcentral
UACGUAGGCAGCAAGCGUUGUUCGGAAUUAUUGGGUUUAAAGGGUGCGUAGGCGGCUUUGUAAGUCAGUGGUGAAAUAUGGCAGCUCAACUGUCAAGGUGCCAUUGAUACUGCAGAGCUUGAGUACAGAUGAGGUAGGCGGAAUUGACGGUGUAGCGGUGAAAUGCUUAGAUAUCGUCAAGAACACCUAUAGCGAAGGCAGCUUACUAGGCUGUAACUGACGCUGAGGCACGAAAGUGUGGGGAUCAAACAGG